Molecule: ribosomal RNA, 97 nt
Filed under: Blumeria bulbigera
Lineage: Eukaryota; Fungi; Ascomycota; Leotiomycetes; Helotiales; Erysiphaceae
Description: partial 5.8S ribosomal RNA
Rfam family: 5.8S ribosomal RNA
About the family: 5.8S ribosomal RNA (5.8S rRNA) is a component of the large subunit of the eukaryotic ribosome.
Source: RNAcentral
GAUAAGUAAUGUGAAUUGCAGAAUUUAGUGAAUCAUCGAAUCUUUGAACGCACAUUGCGCCCCUUGGCAUUCCGAGGGGCAUGCCUGUUCGAGCGUC